Non-coding RNA from Kogia breviceps (pygmy sperm whale), 1839 nucleotides. The record is from RefSeq and is a predicted model, not a curated record. NCBI's taxonomy places the organism in Eukaryota, Metazoa, Chordata, Mammalia, Artiodactyla, Physeteridae.
AGCUCUUUCAAGAUUAUCUGGGCAGCCUCUGAGGCACACUGACCAAUAAAAAUUUCUGCAGCCUUGGCCCUGACUUUUUUUUUGUUUUUUGUAAACAGAACAUAAAGGGAAAUCAGCUGAUAAAUAGAAGCUUCUAUGUAAAUGACAUUAGAUGAAUGAAUUGAGAGACUGAAUAUGUUCAGUUCUAUGCUACCAACAUAAGCACCACAAGUAAUCCCCUAGAUGCCCUUCCUUUUUUCCCACUUCAUGUAACUAGUGCCAUUUUUCCCACUAAAGCACUCUGCCUCACAGCCUCUGCAUUGGUCUCAUUCAUUCACCCACCCAUUAAAUAUUUACUAAGUGCUACCGUGUGCCAAGCACUGUGCUGGGCGCUGGAGAUACAAAUGAUUAAUGUACGGUCCUUGCCUCCAGGGCAGUCCCCUGGUGUCCUCAGGGCCAGCCUGGUAAUCCCAAGCCAGCCCUGGGCAACGGGAACACGGUGCCCUUUGCGGCAGGUAAGAGCGGUAGCAGGGGACUGGCAAACUGCCAGGCCAAAGGUUUUCCCAAGGUAAAACGGGAUGUGAGAGCGAUCCCAGCCCGGCUCAGGCAGACACCAAGUUGGGAAGCAGGGGCCAAAGGGGCGGAGGGCGCAAAGGACCCGGUUGUGCCGAGAACCCCGCCGCAGUCGCCGGGCUGGGUGCUGAGCGGCCGCGCUAUCCCAGAGCCGUCACUGGAGAUGUGGGUACAGCGAUGACUACUGGGCGCCAGUCAGCUGAGGGGGUGUCUCCGAAGGGACACUUUGAGGAGACAGUUGGGGUGGAUCUGGGGUGACGCCCAAAAGGAUGGUUGGUCCUGCGUGUUUGAGGGUUCGGUGGAUGGCAGAGCUGAAGGGUCAGGACAGGACUGAAGACGAGGUCGGUCCAGAAGGUCGAGGAAGACCGAAGGUUUCUUAAAGAAAAAGAUGUAGGAUGAGCCAAAUGGUCCCGUGACCUCUCCCUGUUCCUGAGAAGCUGUAGAUGAGGAACAAGUAUAAGCCUAUACCAUUGAUAUUUUAUCUUCCCGAUUCUCCAAAGACAGAUAGGCUUCACUGUGCUUCCUGCUCCAGUCCUGGAAGAAUGCAUUGUCCAAUUCUCGAUGAAUAUUGAGAUCAAACUUUCAUCUUCUAAAAAUUCCUGUGGGACUUUUAGAUUGGAUUCCUUCAAUUUGUAGAUUAAUUUGGAGAGAAUGGACAUAUUUUCAACAUCAAAAAUUUCCACCAUCCACUCUAUAAAUAUAUAUUAAGUACCUAAGCACCUUCUUUGUGCCAGUCAUUGUUCUAGCAUUUGACAUACAUCAGUGAACGAAACAAAGAAUCCUGUCUUUGUGGAGCUUACCUUUAUGUAAGUAAAGGCAGACAAUAAACAAUAAAAUAAUAAAUAAUAUAAAUUAUGUUGGAAAGUGAAUGCUGUGGAAAAAGCUAGAUAAGAGAGAGCAGAACUAUGAGGGUGAGAGGAGGUGGCAGGCUUAUAGAAAAGGUGAGAUAGAGCAAAAACUUGGAAAAGGGAGUUGGCCAAGGGGCUGUCUGGAGGAAGAGUGUUUCAACCAGAAGGAAUAAUGACAACAAAGACUCUGUUUAAGUAACAGCAAGAAGGACGCACUAGCUGGAGCAGCAAGGUCAGGAGCUGAGUAGCAGGAGACAGAGGUCAGGGAGGGUGUGGGCAGGGUAGGUAGGGUCUAAAAGGCUACCGUAAGGGCUCUGGCUUUUACUCUAAGUGAAAAUGGGAGCCACUGUAAAUCCAUCUACGAACAUGCCUAUAUUUUGCCAUUUAUUCAGGUCACCCUUUUGCCUAUCGAUAAAGUCUUAUAGUUUUCUUUAUAUAG